Molecule: ribosomal RNA, 280 nt
Filed under: uncultured bacterium
Lineage: Bacteria
Description: partial 16S ribosomal RNA
Rfam family: Bacterial small subunit ribosomal RNA
Source: RNAcentral
UGCCAGCCGCCGCGGUAACACGUAGGGGGCGAGCGUUGUCCGGAUUUAUUGGGCGUAAAGAGCUCGUAGGCGGUUCAGUAAGUCGGGUGUGAAAACUUGAGGCUCAACCUCAAGAGGCCACUCGAUACUGCUGUGACUUGAGUCCGGUAGAGGAGUGUGGAAUUCCUGGUGUAGCGGUGAAAUGCGCAGAUAUCAGGAGGAACACCGACAGCGAAGGCAGCACUCUGGGCCGGUACUGACGCUGAGGAGCGAAAGCGUGGGGAGCGAACAGGAUUAGAUA